UAUAAUUAUGAAAAAGUUAACCAUAUAAUCUUGAAAUAAGGUCAAGAGUUUCUACAAACUGCCGAUAACAGUUUACUAUGGGGCAGUUUUAGAUUUAU
This 98-nucleotide non-coding RNA is filed under the name Sebaldella termitidis. RNAcentral's name for it is "Guanine sequence". It matches the Rfam family "Purine riboswitch aptamer". From Rfam's summary of the family: Riboswitches are metabolite binding domains within certain messenger RNAs that serve as precision sensors for their corresponding targets. Lineage: Bacteria; Fusobacteriati; Fusobacteriota; Fusobacteriia; Fusobacteriales; Leptotrichiaceae. RNAcentral also lists the same sequence under 1 other name. The record is from RNAcentral.